RNAcentral lists this ribosomal RNA (502 nucleotides) under uncultured bacterium. RNAcentral's name for it is "bacterial SSU rRNA". It matches the Rfam family "Bacterial small subunit ribosomal RNA", at positions 29 to 523 of the family's 1533-position model. The record is from RNAcentral.
AUUGAACGCUGGCGGCGUGCCUAACACAUGCAAGUCGAGCGGUAACAGGCGUAGCAAUACGCGCUGACGAGCGGCGAACGGGUGCGUAAUACAUGGGAAUCUGCCCUUUGGUGGGGAAUAACCCGGCGAAAGCCGGGCUAAUGCCGCAUAAGAUCCUCGGAUGAAAGCGGGGGACCGUAAGGCCUCGCGCCGUUGGAUGAGCCCAUGUCGGAUUAGCUAGUUGGCGGGGUAACGGCCCACCAAGGCGACGAUCCGUAGCUGGUCUGAGAGGACGGCCAGCCACACUGGGACUGAGACACGGCCCAGACUCCUACGGGAGGCAGCAGUGGGGAAUAUUGGACAAUGGGGGAAACCCUGAUCCAGCGACGCCGCGUGUGUGAAGAAGGCCUGCGGGUUGUAAAGCACUUUCGAUGGGAACGAAAUGUGCCGGGCCAACACCCCGGCAAGCUGACGUUACUCAAUGAAGAAGCACCGGCUAACUCUGUGCCAGCAGCCGCGGUAA